AGCAUCACAUUACAUUAUCAUAUUAUUAAGCAUUUUUUUAUUUCUCUGUUCCAGGCACUGCGCUAAGCAUUGGGAAUACAGAGACACAAGCCCGUCCAUGAUCUCCAGACUUGAGCUCACAUUCAAAUUUGGGGUUUUGCUUUUUGGGUAGAAGUACAGGACUUCCCCCAUCCAUGCAGGGUCCUAUGGGAUCUUCUCAUCCAACAUCCUUCUGCCAGACUUUGGGAUCCACAGAGGUGAGUACACCACCCACAUCUACACAUCACUCUCCUUUCUAGUCCAAGGAAGAGUUCUUGAGGAUUCCUGCUCUUGGGGCUUGCCAAGGCCAGCCUUGCUCCUAGGCUCCAAACCUGAGUGCAAUUUAAAAGUUAAUUUCAAU
RNAcentral lists this long non-coding RNA (379 nucleotides) under Vombatus ursinus (common wombat). Its description in RNAcentral is "lncRNA (ENSVURG00010006218.1)". The record is from RNAcentral. Lineage: Eukaryota; Metazoa; Chordata; Mammalia; Diprotodontia; Vombatidae.